Molecule: long non-coding RNA, 472 nt
Organism: Zerene cesonia (dogface butterfly)
Lineage: Eukaryota; Metazoa; Arthropoda; Insecta; Lepidoptera; Pieridae
Exons: 2
Source: RefSeq, a predicted model, not a curated record
GGCAUCGAAGAUCAAGGACGGUUAUCACAACUGUCUGAGGCGUGGUCAAGCAUGAUCUAUAUAAAGUAAAGCGAUCGUUUCAUAACCAUCACUUGAGAAAUCUCAUCUGAACUCAAACAAAAUGUUCUUCAGAAUCCUCGCUUUCUUCGCUCUCGUGGCGGUGGCGUUCGCUAACCCCAAACCAGACCCUCAGGUUGUUGCCUACACCGCCCCCGCUGUGGUUCCUGCUGCGUACUACACACCUGGAUUUGUCCCCACUGCCUAUGCCGCCGCGGUUCCUUACGCAUACAACUAUUUCAUUAAAUAAUUCCACAUCAAGAACUUUACAUUUCUACGAAAACCGCUUUACUAUCCUUUUUUUAGCACAUUCAUAGCUUUAUUUUUGUAAAAUAUGUUUCGUUUCCACCAAAUCGACCCGAGCGCGAUAAUUGACUUCGUUGUGCCAAAAGUAUUAAUAAAAUGAUAGAACAAU